UUUAAUUUGUAUCCACCUAAUGUGAAACAAGAUGGAUUUUUUUCUCUAAAAGAUAACAAUCUGAAAGGAGAAACAAUAUUCAGAAGGAUCAGAUUAAUAUAUAUGAAUUCUUACAAAUAAACUGGCACAGUCCUGGAAUUUGGCACUUUAAAUAAUGAACACAGGGAAGAACACUCCUGAUAAGAAACCAUCACAAGCCCAUGUGACUAACCAGAUGUAUGAAUAUAAAGUACGCACAUUGAAGGAGAUUCAAGAAAUAAGCUGGAAGCAGACUGAGAGGAUCCAUCAUUCGCUCACCAAAAUAAUAGCCCUAGAUCUGGAGAAGGUUCGUUCAGAAGUGCAGGAGGAUGAAUUUGCCUGAACCACAGGCAGAAAACAUUGGAAAAGCUCAUCAGGUCAGGCAGCAUCUGUGGAAGCAAAAACAGAAACAGAAUAUAUUGCUGUUUUCAGCCUUAUUUCUCAAGACACACAAAAGCAGUCAAACUGUAAAAAUCAACUCUAUUACUGCUCAAAUCCAGAAAGUCCUGUGAUCCAGUCCAUUAUUUCUCAUGCAGUACUGGCCCAUUAUGUUCCAUACAAUUUCCCUCCCUGUGUUUAUUUCAAAUUACUGUUAUUUCCCCAGAUGUGCCUCUCCUA
Pristis pectinata (smalltooth sawfish) is the source of this 636-nucleotide long non-coding RNA. RefSeq lists it as uncharacterized. NCBI's taxonomy places the organism in Eukaryota, Metazoa, Chordata, Chondrichthyes, Rhinopristiformes, Pristidae. The transcript is spliced from 3 exons. The record is from RefSeq and is a predicted model, not a curated record.